UGGGGAAUCUUCGGCAAUGGGCGAAAGCCUGACCGAGCAACGCCGCGUGAGCGAUGAAGGCCUUCGGGUCGUAAAGCUCUGUUGUUAGAGAAGAACAAGUACGAGAGUAACUGCUCGUACCUUGACGGUACCUAACCAGAAAGCCACGGCUAACUACGUGCCAGCAGCCGCGGUAAUACGUAGGUGGCAAGCGUUAUCCGGAAUUAUUGGGCGUAAAGCGCGCGCAGGCGGUCUCUUAAGUCUGAUGUGAAAGCCCACGGCUCAACCGUGGAGGGUCAUUGGAAACUGGGAGACUUGAGUGCAGGAGAGAAAAGUGGAAUUCCACGUGUAGCGGUGAAAUGCGUAGAGAUGUGGAGGAACACCAGUGGCGAAGGCGGCUUUUUGGCCUGUAACUGACGCUGAGGCGCGAAAGCGUGGGGAGCAAACAGG
RNAcentral lists this ribosomal RNA (429 nucleotides) under uncultured Fictibacillus sp. RNAcentral's name for it is "bacterial SSU rRNA". It matches the Rfam family "Bacterial small subunit ribosomal RNA", at positions 355 to 776 of the family's 1533-position model. Lineage: Bacteria; Bacillati; Bacillota; Bacilli; Caryophanales; Fictibacillaceae. The record is from RNAcentral.